RNAcentral lists this ribosomal RNA (497 nucleotides) under uncultured bacterium. RNAcentral's name for it is "bacterial SSU rRNA". It matches the Rfam family "Bacterial small subunit ribosomal RNA", at positions 40 to 507 of the family's 1533-position model. The record is from RNAcentral.
CGGCGUGCUUAACACAUGCAAGUCGAACGAGACGAUUUAGAAGCUUGCUUUUAUUGAGUCGAGUGGCAAACGGGUGAGUAACGCGUAGACAACCUGCCGCAAAGAUGGGGACAACAGUCCGAAAGGACUGCUAAUACCGAAUGUUGUAUCUCCUCCGCAUGGAAGAGAUAUUAAAGAUGGCCUCUACUUGUAAGCUAUCGCUUUGCGAUGGGUCUGCGUCUGAUUAGCUAGUUGGUGGGGCAACGGCCUACCAAGGCGACGAUCAGUAGCCGGUCUGAGAGGAUGAACGGCCACAUUGGGACUGAGACACGGCCCAAACUCCUACGGGAGGCAGCAGUGGGGAAUCUUCCGCAAUGGGCGCAAGCCUGACGGAGCAACGCCGCGUGAGUGAAGAAGGUUUUCGGAUCGUAAAGCUCUGUUGAGAGGGACGAGAGACAUAAUCAGGAAAUGGGUUAUGGAGGACGGUACCUUUCGAGGAAGCCACGGCUAACUACGUG